GGGAAUUUUACUUUUGAAUUAAUAGUAAAUUAUGAUAGAGACAGUUUGGAAGUUUGGAGGUUGAGAGGAAACUAUAGUAUGGAAUUGAUACACAUUCAUGGUACAUUGGUGGUCCUUUUGUAUUGAACUGAAACAUAGAAAGUUGCCAUGAAGAUAUUCUAUUUUAAUUUUUGCAGCAAUAAAAAUUGUUAUUUAGGAACUUUCUACAUUUUGUCAUUUUUGGUUUUGUUUAUAGUCAUGGACCUAGACGGCAACAAAUCAAUCAUCAAAAUUUGUCAAUGGUUCUUGAAAAUUCAUAGUCAGGUUCUACAUUUUUUUAUUUGAAGAAGGUUGACAUUCUGUUGCAAAAGCUUUCAUUAGUUUCCUAUUUUGUAGGAAGGCGUAAUUUUAUAUUUUGAAGUUGUUGUCCUUAUGCCAAUCAGGCUUAAUUUAGUUGGUCUUCUUGUACACUUUAAAAAGGGUGGGAAUUGGGUCUCCCAAGUUUGAGUCUUCCUAUCCACUGAUGUAGUGGAAGUUUUGACCAUUAUGGUGAGUUGUUAUGAAAAAAG
RNAcentral lists this unclassified non-coding RNA (548 nucleotides) under Hevea brasiliensis (rubber tree). The record is from RNAcentral. Lineage: Eukaryota; Viridiplantae; Streptophyta; Magnoliopsida; Malpighiales; Euphorbiaceae.